Molecule: small nuclear RNA, 273 nt
Filed under: Sorex araneus (European shrew)
Lineage: Eukaryota; Metazoa; Chordata; Mammalia; Eulipotyphla; Soricidae
Description: 7SK RNA (ENSSARG00000018672.1)
Rfam family: 7SK RNA
About the family: 7SK was discovered as an abundant small nuclear RNA in the mid-70s but a possible function has only recently been suggested. Two independent studies have found that 7SK RNA binds the CDK9/cyclin T complex (known as elongation factor P-TEFb). P-TEFb activates transcription by phosphorylating the C-terminal domain of RNA polymerase II.
Source: RNAcentral
GGAUGUGACGGUGACUGGCUGUGGUAUCUGUCCCCCUCUGAGGACUGCUUGGGCUGACCUGCCUGGGCAGGCGGCUGUCCCCUUCCUCCUUCACUGCUCUAUGCGGAGCUGCGUGCGUGGCUGGAGAGGACGGCCUGGCCCAAGCAGAGACAGACCAUCCGGGGUUUGUGCUCCCCUGCUCGAACCUCCAAACCGGCGCUCACAAGCAAGCGUGGGACUCCGCUGAGCCUCACAACCAAGUGUCCAUACCUGUCACUGCAACAUAAACAACAG